GACGAACGCUGGCGGCGUGCCUAAUACAUGCAAGUCGAGCGGAAGUUGGAGAGCUUGCUCUUCAACUUUAGCGGCGGACGGGUGAGUAACACGUGGGCAACCUGCCCUGCAGAUCGGGAUAACUCCGGGAAACCGGUGCUAAUACCGAAUAGUUUUCGCCACCUCCUGGUGGCGUACGGAAAGACGGUUUCGGCUGUCACUGCAGGAUGGGCCCGCGGCGCAUUAGCUAGUUGGUGGGGUAACGGCCCACCAAGGCAACGAUGCGUAGCCGACGUGAAGGGGUGGUCGGCCACACUGGGACUGAGACACGGCCCAGACUCCUACGGGAGGCAGCAGUAGGGAAUCCUCCGCAAUGGACGAAAGUCUGACGGAGCAACGCCGCGUGAGUGACGAAGGUUUUCGGAUCGUAAAACUCUGUUGUGAGGGAAGAACAAGUACCACUUAACUACUGGUACCUUGACGGUACCUCACCAGAAAGCCACGGCUAACUACGUGCCAGCCGCCGCCGUAA
This 511-nucleotide ribosomal RNA is filed under the name uncultured bacterium. RNAcentral describes it as "partial 16S ribosomal RNA". It matches the Rfam family "Bacterial small subunit ribosomal RNA", at positions 28 to 523 of the family's 1533-position model. The record is from RNAcentral.